Amphiprion ocellaris (clown anemonefish) is the source of this 1365-nucleotide long non-coding RNA. The record is from Ensembl. Lineage: Eukaryota; Metazoa; Chordata; Actinopteri; Pomacentridae.
GUUCUUGGGGUUUUAAAUAGUAGGCAUGGAGGGAGACAAUCUCAAACUAAAAUGGAUCCAGCUGUAUCACAAUAUUCUUGCAUGCUUUGUUGUAUGCUGUAAAACCUUUGUGUUGAGACUUUUUGGAGACUUUUGCACAAAUUUCGUUCUUGGCCAUUUUGCUGAGGCAGAACAGCCUUGUGGAGUCCCACAGGUCUUCUCCAGGGAUCCUCUCUUCAUCUCAGCCAUCAUGUCUGCAGAGAAGCAGAGAGUGUACCAGGGCGUCCGAGUGAAGACCACAGUCAAAGAGCUGCUGCAGAGGCACAGAGCCCGAGAGGCCAGCAGCAAGAAACUGAAAACGAUAUCCCAGGCUUGCUUGGAACUCCAGGAGCUGUGCGCCUCCGCAUUCCCAAGUCGUCAUGUGGAUCCUCCCUCCGUCAUCCCUCCAGCUGACUCCAGCUGCGGAGCGCGAGCCGUCCAGCUGCGCGCCGCCGUGUUCCCUGAGAGCUCGUGCAGCAUCCAGAUGCAGGACGGCAGCUUUAACGACAUCCAGCAGCAGUUUGGGGACGUGAUGUUGCCCGGCAACGGCUACGGGGGCAAUAACAACAACAACCCCAGCGGAGGCAUCAGCUACAGCUCCUCCCUGCCGCCCCCCACCGCCUCCCCGCUGCCCUGGAGCCACGGACUGUCCUCAGAUGCGGACUUCUACGGCCACGGGAUGGCUCCCUGCUCCUCACCGGAGUCUCUGGCGUUCUGCAACCCCAUGGAUCACAACAGCUACUCCCCACAGGACUCGUUCUCCUCCUCCUCUUCCUCCUGCUACGACUCGCCCACCAGGAUGGAGUCCAGCUUCCGCGGCUUCACCUCGGAGCUCUACCACUACCAGCACUGUACCCCCCAGGACUGUUACUGUCUGCCCCACUGCUGGCCAGCCCCGCAGGAGAGCUUCCCUGCCCCAGAAUAUGCACCUUACUACAACCCCACAGACCUUCCAUACGUCUGUCCUGUGGAGGAGAAUUACUUUAGGAGGGAUCUCCCAGUGAGCUCUGAGAUGUGUUACAAUGUUCUAUGAUGAGACCUCCAGCAGUAUUACCUUGUAUUCUGGCUGUAAAUAUGAUUCUCUUCAAGUAAGGCUGUUUGCUUGUUGCUUUGCAGUCCAUGCCAGUGUGUGUCCUGACUGGCUUUGGCUUCGGUGCAUGAUGAAUGCUGAAUGGAUGGAAAUAUUUUUGUAUCCUUUUUGAAAACUUAGAUUUAUUUUCAUACACAUGAUUUGUUGCUGUACAAAAUAAAGAAAAACAAACAACGCUGGCUGGUAACGUGUUUGGGCUGAACUGUACUGUAAUUCAAGACUUUGCACUGAAGUGAAGGAACCCUGAAAGAUUCGAC